RNAcentral lists this transfer RNA (74 nucleotides) under Trichobilharzia regenti. It matches the Rfam family "tRNA". From Rfam's summary of the family: Transfer RNA (tRNA) molecules are approximately 80 nucleotides in length. Their secondary structure includes four short double-helical elements and three loops (D, anti-codon, and T loops). The record is from Rfam by way of RNAcentral. Lineage: Eukaryota; Metazoa; Platyhelminthes; Trematoda; Strigeidida; Schistosomatidae.
GCUCCGGUAGCUUAGUUGGUUAUAGCGCCGUACUUAUAAUGUGGAGGUCGAGAGUUCGAGCCUCACUCGGAGCA